This 486-nucleotide ribosomal RNA is filed under the name uncultured Ralstonia sp. Its description in RNAcentral is "bacterial SSU rRNA". It matches the Rfam family "Bacterial small subunit ribosomal RNA", at positions 505 to 990 of the family's 1533-position model. Lineage: Bacteria; Pseudomonadati; Pseudomonadota; Betaproteobacteria; Burkholderiales; Burkholderiaceae. The record is from RNAcentral.
GUGCCAGCAGCCGCGGUAAUACGUAGGGUCCAAGCGWWAAUCGGAAUUACUGGGCGUAAAGCGUGCGCWGGCGGUUGCGCAAGACCGAUGUGAAAUCCCCGAGCUUAACUUGGGAAUUGCAUUGGUGACUGCACGGCUAGAGUGUGUCAGAGGGGGGUAGAAUUCCACGUGUAGCAGUGAAAUGCGUAGAGAUGUGGAGGAAUACSGAUGGCGAAGGCAGCCCCCUGGGAUAACACUGACGCUCAUGCACGAAAGCGUGGGGAGCAAACAGGAUUAGAUACCCUGGUAGUCCACGCCCUAAACGAUGUCAACUAGUUGUUGGGGAUUCAUUUCCUUAGUAACGUAGCUAACGCGUGAAGUUGACCGCCUGGGGAGUACGGUCGCAAGAUUAAAACUCAAAGGAWUUUUAYKGGGACCCGCACAAGCGGUGGAUGAUGUGGAUUAAUUCGAUGCAACGCGAAAAACCUUACCUACCCUUGACAUGCC